GCCCACGUGGUGAAAUUGGUAGACACGCCAUCUUGAGGGGGUGGUUCCGUAAGGUAUGCUGGUUCGAGUCCAGUCGUGGGCA
This 82-nucleotide transfer RNA is filed under the name Bacteroidota bacterium. RNAcentral describes it as "Bacteroidetes bacterium (groundwater metagenome) tRNA-Leu". It matches the Rfam family "tRNA". From Rfam's summary of the family: Transfer RNA (tRNA) molecules are approximately 80 nucleotides in length. Lineage: Bacteria; Pseudomonadati; Bacteroidota. The record is from RNAcentral.